CAGACAGCAGCCGCAGCUCGACGCUGAAGUUCACUUCCUAUUGAGUGUCGGACAACCGGCCAAAAAGAAUAGCCAGAGGGUUCUGGUCGUCUUCUAUAUACCAACGUCAGACUUACUUCGGUGGAAAAGAGCUUGAGGCCUUGAAGGUUCACUGAAAUCUCUUUCUGAAAAACAUUAAUCCUUCGCCUCUUCGCCCGUCUGCAUCAUAACAAGAAGGGAAACUCUCUGCGCGAUUCCUGGAUUUGCUGCCUCGGAGUAUUGGUUAACUGGCUGGAGUGGAAAAGCACGUCAUAGCAGGUGCAUAAACCUGCUCAACCUUAAACCCUCCCUUUAUUUAUUGUCUUCUUCUCCCUCACCUGAGAAAAGAAUGAAAAAGUCUCAGAUGUCGGUGUACUGCUGCUUUUUCUCUCUUUUUAUUAUUUGUUCCCCAAGGGGGGAAAAAGAUGAGGAAAAAAAUAAAUAACAGGGUGGCAGCUAUAUUAAUUUCGAAAAUUUCUUGAUCUAGCUCUUGGUUUUUCCUCGAAACAUUUCCCAUUUUAGAAGCACACUUGUGACAGAGCGCCUCUCCCUCCAUUUCCGUUCAUGUUUUAUUUUACUUUUACUUUGCCUUAUUAGCUUUUUGCAGGGAAGCAGAAGGAGGAACUCAACCAUGGCGCUGUUAAUGCAACUCCUCCUGGCCACAUUAUAACAUUUAAACCUGAGACUAACAAAAAAUAUCACCCUCACUGCCAAAAAGAAAUCAUGGAGAGUUGUGCCGUUCCUUUAGGCUGUUUAUUUUUAGCAUAAUUGUGUGUGUUUUCAUGAUUACUGUAUUGAGUUUCUUGUGCACACUAUUUUAAGUCAGUGUUACACACAAGAACACAACGCCCAGAUCUACAGACAAUAUUUGCUUGAUUGCCACACCCGUCUGUUCACAUAAUGUGGAUUCAUUCCUGAACUGUUUCUUAACUACAUUCACCUUAUUGUCUCCAACAUCAUAAGCAGAACCAGCCCUUUAUUGCUAGGGUGUGUAAAAUAAAGUUUGAAUUUUACCCAAUAUGUUAAAACAUAUAAAUGAAGAUACCUGUUCUCUUUAGCAAUAUUUUUUAUGCCAAACUGUUUAUUCAUUAUUAGAACAACUAAUGUAUCACUUCCUGCAUUUGGUGAUGUUUAAUUACAUUCCUAAAUUAAUGUCAGACUUAAAAUAAUGAGACAGAAUUCAGGUCUUAACCUGAGUAUUUAUUCUGGUUGUUACUGUUAUUGUUCAGUUUCUUUUUUAAAUAUAUGUAUAUAUAUAUUUUUUUAUUGGAGGGGUGUCUGAGUGAAUGCUGAAAAAUUCCCAUCCUUUGAUAUUUUUUUUUGCAUAGAUCUUGUCUGUCAGUGGAUGACUUGUUCAAGAAUGGGGAAUCAGUACAUCACAAAAACCAUGCAGAAACAGUGAAAAGGCACAAUCACCAUAAAUAUCAGAUACACAAAAUUUCAAAUGUUUAUAGGUUUAUCUUUUUUUUUUUAAUGAAUGAGGGAGGGGUUGUACCAACUCAGGUGUAAUAUGGACAAAUCCUCCCGAGUAUUUUUAAGCUGCCAUUAUUUUCAGGGCACAACAUAAUACAGGAAAUCACCUCCCAUACAUUCGAUGCCUUUUGUUUGAAACACCCAUAAUGUUAAACAACUUCUAAUAGCUAUGUGGGAAAAUACGAGCAUGUCCAUCUUUUUUUUUCCUUUAAUGCAGUACAUUUCUUUUCAUAUAUAGAAACUAUUUGUCUUUUGCCUCUUUUUGUCCACAUCCCUCACAUCCAUCCACAACCAAUUUUUGAGAACUUUCACGCAAAGCAUAACACCUUAAUGAUAAUCAGACACAACAUACAGAAAACAUUUUUCAUUUUUGAGUGAGGAAGGGGGUGGAGAGGGGAAUAAAAAAGAUUCAAAACAGAAAACAUUUUCCACCUGCAAUCUGUGGUGAUUUUGCACACUUACACACACUUGUGAUCUUUCACUGUUUUAUUUGCAACAGAUUAACAUUAUCUACCUCUCAGGCACAGUAUAGUGUUGGAAUACUGUGGAUGUCAUUAAAGACAGCACUAUAUGUUGUGUGUGUGUGGGGAGGUGAUGAGUUCAACACCUUAUAUGCUCUGCAUUAUUUUGGAUAUAAAUGAUUACAUAAUGUUUAUCUUCAAAGCAAGCAAAAAAAUAAAACAAGGUAGUAUUCACUUUUUUUAUAUUUUGAGUGCAAAGACUUUUUCAUUCGGCCACAAGAGGAAACAAAAAAGGUACAUCAGAAAAAAAAAUCAUAUAAUGUCACUCAUUCAAGCAAAACAUCAAGACAACAAUCAGAAAUGAAUCCACAGACAAUCUUUCUGUUGAACUUGAACUCCUUCAGAGAUGUAUUCAAACUAUGUCAUCGUUGCUGUGUGACGUUGUUACCAUUCAUGUAGCAGGUGCUGUGCGACACUGCCCUCUACAGGCCAGGGUUUGCCUAUGGCAAAUUAACUGAGUUUAGUGAUGUUUUGGGUGUCAUUCUGAGACCAUUUGCAGCCUCAUCGAACCUCAGUCCCCACUCGACGCUAUGUCCAGAGGCUUUGACAUCUAUAACGGAGAGUUGUAAAUUGUUUUCUAAUAUUUACAAGAAAAAUAAAUGACCAACACUUUUUUUUUAUAUAUAUAUAAUUAGUAUUUUCCCCCAUAUAGGAAAGGUUCUAGCAUUUAGUAUGCCAGUACACCUUCUCACGUUUCAGGAUCCAAAACAAAAAAAGUUUCACAAAAGUAAAAACGGAAAGAAAGAAAGAAAAAAACAAGCACACAGCACACUGCUAAAACUUUUACCCACACGAUAUCUGACAGUGCAAACUUACAUCCAUGUCUUAAAAUAAUUUACAAACAUUAGUAUACACUUCAGCACCAUUGUUUAAUAUUGUUGAAUACAUAUCAGUAAGCGAGAUUGUAAAAGUGGAUGAUGUCAGAACUGGAUGUUCAAGCAACAAAAAGGGCUGGACAUUUAUGGAGUGGUUGGAGCGAUGUUGCAUGUUGAUGAACCGAUGCAAGGUUUUUGCUGUACGGCAUUAAGAAAGUUGUUGUUUCUCUUUCUCCUAAUACAGUGCCUUGCAGGAUUAUCCAAGCACCUUGAACUUGUUCACAUUUUGUCACAUGGCCACCACAAACUUCAGUAUAUUUAAUUGGGAUUUUUAUGGGACCAACCAAAUUAGGGUACGAUUGUGAAGACUAAUCUUUAUGGAAACAUGGUUACAAUGUUGAAUUGUUAAAAGAAAAUCAUAACAGAUCUUGUUUGUCUAUAUUGCCAAAGCCAUAUAAAAGACACAGCAAAUGUGUGGAAAAGUGUGCUGGUCAGAUGAGACUAAAGUGUAAAAUGUUUGGCUUACAUACAAAAUCUUGUGUGUGGCAGAAAAUGAACACGAACACAGCAUUCCCACCGUGAAACAUGGCAGUGGCAACAUCAUGCUGUGGAGUUGCUUUUCUUUAGCAGAACAAGGAAACCGGACAGAGGUCAUUGGUAGAGGGAUGCAGCUAAAUAGGGCAAUCCUAACCUUUAAGAUUCUGCAAUGCAGUUGGGAUAGAGGCAGAGUCACCUUCCAGCAGAACAACGACCCUAAAUAUACAGCUACCUGGGAUGGUUUAGAGUGAACCCCUUUCAUGUGUUGGAAUGGCCCAGUUAAAGCUCAGACCUUACUACAACAGAGAAAAUGUGACAAAGCUUGAAAACUGAUGUUCAUAGACCCUCUGCAUCCAGGCUUACUUAGCAUAAGAUAUUUUGCAAAGACAAAUGGGCAGAAAUGUAUGUUUACAUGUCCAUAGCUGGUAGAAAUGACUUGCAGCUGUAACUGCUACAAAAAGUGGUUCUAUCAUUCGUUCAAAAGGAGCAAGUGCAAG
This is a long non-coding RNA of Xiphophorus maculatus (southern platyfish), 3861 nucleotides long. RefSeq lists it as uncharacterized. The transcript is spliced from 2 exons. The record is from RefSeq and is a predicted model, not a curated record. Lineage: Eukaryota; Metazoa; Chordata; Actinopteri; Cyprinodontiformes; Poeciliidae.